RNAcentral lists this long non-coding RNA (4654 nucleotides) under Amborella trichopoda. RNAcentral describes it as "long non-coding RNA (ATRI_LNC005074)". Lineage: Eukaryota; Viridiplantae; Streptophyta; Magnoliopsida; Amborellales; Amborellaceae. The record is from RNAcentral.
GCUGUUCCAGUAAUUUCACCAUCGUCCAACCUUCUCUCUCUACCCCCUCAUCCUAUGAGACAGCCCACAUAUGGGCGAAAUUUAGUACCAGAGAAAAGGGGAGAGUUGGGGUAAGUAGAGAUCUCCCAAGUUAUGAGGCAACCCACACAUGGGUAAAAAUUUAUUACGAGAGAAAAAAAGGAGAAAUGGGGUGAGUAGAGAGAGAGAAGGAAGAGAAGUUCAGAACGGAGGAUUUGGAGCCACAAGAGGAACAUGAAUUUACAGAGAAAUAGGGGAAAGUUGGGGUGAGUAGAGAAAGAAGAGGAAGAGAAGUUCAGAUUGGAGGCGUCAGGGUUACAGGGCCUGCAGUCAUAAGCAUGAGCUGCAAGUUAUUGAAGCUCAAAACCUUCAUCAAAGUUUUCCGGGCAUCAUCUUUAGGUAAGGAUGCAUCCAAUUGAUUUUAGUAUGACGAUCCUUUGUAGAUCCACCAUGAUGCCCAUUUCAAAAAAAAAAAAACAAUUUCAGUGAGGUUUUUGCAUCAAGACCUCUUGUUAUUGAACCCUAAAUCACCCAUCUGCCUUUCUUUAAUUUUCUCUCUCAAAUCAGAACCAAACAAUGUAAUAAUUGAUUCAAAUCGUUCAUAUUUCAUCCAUUUAAAAAAACCCUAAGGUCAUAUUUCGGAUCAAUUGAAAAUUUUGUAGAAUUUGAUGCACACCUCUUGUUAUUGAACCCUAAAUCACCUAUCUGCCUUUCUUUAAUUUUCUCUCUCAAAUCAGAACCAAACAAUGUAAUAAUUGAUUCAAAUCGUUCAUAUCCAUUUAGAAAAACCCUAAGGUCAUUUUUCGGAUCAAUUGAAAAAUUUGUAGAAAUUGAUGCACAAAUUUCUCCAUAUAUAUUCAUGUUAUAUAUCUAAAAACCUCCAUCAUGGCAUAGCAAACAUUUUUUGGGCGUCACUUUUUGUAUAGGGCAACUGUAUGUGGGCUGCCUGUCUAAAUUUCACCCUUAUGUAAUAAUUUUCACAAAUUUAAUACAAUGUUAACCCCUAGAAAAAAAACGGUCAUCCAAUUUUUUUACCAAAGAAGUGUUCUAUUUGAUGUAAAUCGUUUUUCUUUAAGCUGAGUUUGCUUUAUUAGCGUUUUUUUUUUGCCCCAUGUAUUUCAUAGGGUUCUUAUUGUCUUUAAAUAGUUAAGAGAUGUAAUGAAGUUGUGAUGAUAGCUAGUGAUAAUUUUGUAUUAGACCAUGUAAACAACAAACAAUUGACUGCUGAUAAGUAUUUUCCAAAAUGAGGAUUGAUUUUGUAUUUUUUGUCUUUAAAUGAUUUUGGCAUUCUAUCUUAACAACAGUAGAAAUAUUUCUACAGAUAUUCUAUGUUGUUAUAAGUAGUACCAUUUAUGAGUUCUUUCUAACACCCUUCUAAUAUUUUAUGUUUAAUAUUUAUAAAUUCGAUGAUAUUGUUUACUUUGAGAAAGAUAAAUUGCUAAUAUUUAUGUAUUUGAUAUUGUUUACCACUAAAUAAUAUUAAUAGUGCUACAGAGUAAUGAUAGAUUGCUAAAGAGUAAUAUGAGCAAUGAUAGCGAUUGUUGUACUGAGAUGGAAGUAUUUAAUGCUAGCUUUGAAAUUUUCUAAAUAAUUAUAUGAUUUAAAGUUGGUAGAUGAAUCUUCUAAUUGAUUUUUUCUUUCAUGUUAUAGAUUUAUAAAAUAGAAUGGACAUGAACUGGACAUGAGGUAUACAAUUGACUUGCAGUUAAGAAGUAAGUUAGUUGGUAGUGGGACAGAAACAAGUACAAAGGCAGAAACUCCUAUUGAGGAUUACCCAACAGAGGUGGACUAUGACGAUUUAGGUUGUCACAAUGAAAUGGAGGAUAUUAAUGAUUUCGACAGUGAUGGCAACAACAAGUUUGAUGUAUGCCAAGAUACGGAGGAUGCAUAUGAGAUUAACAUGGAUGAGCCUCAAGGUUUUGAACUUAGUAAUAAUGUCCCUAAAGAGGGUAUGCAAUUUGAAUCACAUAAAGAUACAUUUGACUUUUAUAACAAAUAUGCAAAAAAAAAAGGGUUUUAAUGUUAGGUAUUCUUCGACUCGUCGUUCAAGGAAAGAUGUGUCAGUCAUUGCUCGUGAGUAUGUAUGUUCAAAAGAAGGUUAUCAACAUAAGAAAUACAAGGGGAAUCACUCAUGGCCCCAAACAAGGACAGGGUGCAAAGCCUUACUAAGAAUAAAAAAAGAAUGAAAAUGGUUUUUGGAUCAUUGUGGCGCACAAUAAAGAACAUUUUCAUGCCUUAACUUCACCAUCCAAAGUUCAUCUUCUUCGAUCACAUCGCGAAAUUCCAAAGCACACAAGGUGAAUGAUCCAUAUGUAUAACUCAUGUGGAUUAGCUGCAUUGAAGAUAACAAACGUGCUUAGUACUCAGACUGGUCGCCCAAGGACUCUCCCUUUUAUUAAAAUAGACUGCAAGAAUGAAAUCUACAAAAGUCAGAGAAAAAAAUCAAAGUAGAUAGGAGGGGAUGCAGAGGGAUUGAUGGAGUUAUUUGCAUCUAAGAUUGCUAAAAACCCGUUCUUUGCAUAUACAAUGCAAGAUUGUGGAGAAGGGCACUUAAGCAAUAUACUAUGGAUUGAUGCGAAAUCGAGAAUUGCUUAUGAGUUAUUUGGGGAUGUCAUCAUAUUCGAUACCACAUACAAAACUAAUGUCUAUCAGAUGCCAUGUGCCCCAAUUUUAGGAGUGAACCACCACACAAAGACAAUAUUCUUAGGUUGUGCGUUACUCCAUAAAGAAGAUGAGGAGUCUUUUACAUGGCUAUUUACAAAGUGGCUUGAGGUGAUGAAUGGAUGUCAACCCAAGUCAAUCAUCACAGACCAAGACAAGGCAAUGGCCCUCGCAAUAAAAAAAGUGUUCCUAGAGUCCCGACAUCGCUUGUGUAGAUGGCAUAUUAUACAAAAGUUUGAGAAAAAAAUGGCACAAGUUGAGCGCAAACAUCCAUCCUUCCAUGCAGAAUUCUAUAAAUGUAUUGACCAAUGCAUCUCCAUAAAUGAAUUUGAAGCCACAUGGCCAAAAAUGAUAGAAAUAUAUGAUUUAAAGAAUAAUGAAUGGUUGCAGUAUUUGUAUGAAAUUCGACAUCAGUGGGUAGAUGUAUAUUUACAAGACUGCUUCUUUGCUGGCAAUAGAAUAAGUGGAAGAAGUGAAGCUAUGAACAAAGACAUCAAGGCAUAUGUGAGUUCACAUACCAACUUGACUACAUUUGUGGGCAAACUACAAAAAUUAAUUGACAAAAAAAUUUGAUGAUGAAAGCACUGCAAACUUUAAAUCUCAUAACGAGACACCAGUUAUGAAGACUACUAGAUGGCUGAAAUUUAUACCCCAACUAUCUUUUCGAACUUCUUUCAGCCAAAGUUGAUGGAAGCCAUUAAUCUUACUUGUGAAGUCCAAGAGGAAGAAGAGGUGGUAUGCACAUUUAGUUUGAAAGAAUAUGGGGUAUGUCACAGAGCUCACAUGGUCGCAUUAAGAAACACCGAGGAGAAAGCAACAUGCAGUUGUCAUCUAUAUCCCUUGUAGUCAUAUGCUCAGGGUAUUUUUUCUAAAAAAUAUUUUUGAAUUACCCCAAAACUAUAUAAUGAAAAGAUAGACAAAUUUUUUUACAAAGGGUAUUGCUCGUAAUGGUCAUGGAGUUCAAGUAUGACCUAACUGUGAGGAUACCUAUUCAACAGUUGCAAUGAUCUAUUUCGAAAUUGCAACAUUCUAUCAGUAAAUGGUGCAAUGAGUAUAGGCUUGUAUGAGUAUGCAAAGAUGGUUCUAGAUGAGGUAUGUGAUAAGGUUGUUGCUAGAAUUGACAUGGAAAAGGUUAUGUAAUACAAGCAUCUUCUACCCAUAGCAGCCCUGCAUACAUAGGAUCCCCUUGUGUGACACCGAUCCUCUUUGUGGUUUCAAAUCCACAUGUGACCUAGACAUUUAAGUUUGAAACAUGGAGAGAACGAGUAAAAGAAAGGGGCGGCCUAGAAAUUUUAGUUUGAAACAUGGAGAGAACGAGUAAAAUAAAGUGCAAGAAAUUUGAGUUUACAAGUUAUUGUAGAUGUAAAUGUCCCUCUUUGUGCAGGACACUGUAUGAUAUGUUAUUUUUUGUACUUCUGAGUUUAAGUUUUUAAAACUUGUUGUUUAUAAGCUAAUGCAUUGUUUCUAUUUUAAAACCUUGAGUUUAAUUGUUGUGGAUGUUUUCAUGUCUAUUUGCUACUUUUCAAACUCUAAAAAUUGAAUAACUAACUUGCUAUUUAGCUUUGAGCAGACCUCCCUUUUCUUAAUGCUUAUGGUUAAAUAAUUUUAUGGUGAGCAGAUUGAAAUUUUAAUCAUGAAAUCUUUUCCAUUGUAAUCCACUAUCAUUGAGUUGUUCCUUGUUUUCUAUUUUGGUAUAGGGGCGCCACUAUUGAAAGCACAAUUAACCGCCAAGGAUGGUUGAGUAACACCCAAGAUGAUGAGGCUAGGCAGCAGCAGUGAUUAGCCUUUGAAUUGACAAUGAUUUACAUAUGCUUUUGAUAACUACAACCUGAAGUUUUUUGAUGCCUAAUUACACAAUUUUUUGAUAUGCAAUUGUAUAAUUUUUGAUAUCUAGUUGGAUAGUUUUUUUUUAUAUAUAAUCAUUGCAAAAAUGUAAAUAUAAUGCCCUUCAAAUACAUGGGUAUUUUGUAUAAAC